AUGGACAAAAUUUCUUCUAGAUUAGACUCUAUAGCAGCAAUAAGUUCAAAUUCCAACAAACAACAGUCUGAUUAUGUGCCUUAUAAUCAAAGAAAUAAUCAUGCUAAUAAUUAUCAAAAUUCACAAUCUUUUCAGGUGCCUACUUACAAUGACCGCCAGCCAAUGAUGCCAGUUCAAAGACAAAGACCAGUAAUGAGUAACGGUCCACCUGGAUCCUGUAUUGGGUGUGGUAAGUCAUGUAAAUCAAGGUCAAUCUGCCCCGCUUACAAAAAGUCAUGUCAUAAGUGUGGCAAACAAGGUCAUUUCAGCUAUGUUUGUUUAAGUAAGGGAAACCAACAUGUGUCACAAGGAAAUAGGGCAUAGGGAUUCGAGCCUUCCUUUAGGCAGCAGUCUAGGGGUAGGCACAAGGAUGAUAAAAAUCAUUGUCAUGAAAAUGACAAAACUGGUACAAACAAUGAGGUUUGCACAAUUAUUUCUUUAGACUCAGACAAAUGCACAACUUACGUCACCAUAGGUACAACCAGAACCAAAGCUUUGAUAGAUACAGGUGCAAAUAUUUCUGUCAUAAAUAGAAAUCUUUUAGAUAAGACCUCUUAUGCUAAAGUUCCAUUGCAACCUGGUGCAAUGAAGCAAGUUAUUGCAGCCAAUGGCAAUCAUGUACAAGUUCUAGGCAAGCUUUCAAUUACCCUUCAUGUAGGCAAUAAAGCAGUUUACUCAAACUGUUCAUGUUCUUGAUCAACUUCAUCAUUCUCUCAUUCUUGGUGUUGAUUUCAUGAAGAAAAAUGGAGCUUUCAUCAAUUUUCAAGAUUGUACUUUAGAGUUGAAAGAUAACCCAAAUAUUGUUCUUAGUUCUAUCACUCUAAAUUCAGGCUUAGUUCGGACUAAAAAGGUGGUUACUAUUCCUAAACAUUCUGAAACCUUGAUUCAAGUAUCUGUCUCAAAGCAAGACGAAGAUAGCACAGUGCUUUUAGAACCUUUAGAUGCUCCUCCUCAAUUUCUUCAGAAUGUAGUUGUGGCAAAAUGUCUAGUCAAAAUUCAUAAUGGCAAAGCUCAUUUAAGACUUUUAAAUCCCACUGCUACAGACAUUAAGCUAAGACCACACAAAGUAAUUGCCAAGGUUUCUCAUGUCAACACUGAAGAAAUUCACUCUAUAGAUGAUAAGCAAUCAGCUGACACUCCUUUCUUUUUCUCCUACUACUAAAUCAAAGUCUGACGACAUGACUUUUGAUCUUUCUAGUGCUUGUUUGACUUCAAUUGAAAAACAAAAGCUUCUAGCUUUCCUUCAGAAAAACAGGUCUAUCUUUGCAAAUUCUCUCAAAGAGCUAGGAUGCACCCAUUUAUAUAACCACCACAUAGAAACAGUUCCUGGUGCAAAACCUUUUAGAUCACCUCCAUAUAGGCAAACUCCAAAAGUUCGAGCAGAACAAGAUAGGCAGGUCAAAGAACUUCUUGACAAUGACAUUAUUGAACCCUCAUGUUCUAAUUGGGCUUCACCCGUUGUCAUGUGCUUCAAGAAAUCAGGCGAGAUGAGGAUGGCGAUUGACUAUAGGAAGGUCAAUGCGCUUAGUAUUCCUCAGACCUUCCCGUUACCCCAUAUGGAGAGUGUAUUUGAUGCGAUUGGAGAGGUCAAGGCCCAGUAUUUCUCAUGUGUCGAUUUAAAAUCUGGUUUUCAUCAGGUCCCUCUAACUGAAGAGAGCAAACACAAAAGUGCCUUUAUCACACAGACAGGAAUCUAUCAGUUUAAGAGGAUGCCAUUUGGUUUAAUGAACAGUCCUAUCACCUUUCAGGCUAUGAUGUCUCAUGUUCUUAGGGGCCUCAACUGGAAAUUUGUAUUGGUAUAUGUCGAUGACAUUCUCAUUUUCUCUCAAACUUUUGAAGACCAUUUAAACCAUCUGUCCCAAGUCUUUGAUCGGUUGAGGCAUGCCAAUUUGAAACUUCACCCUAGUAAGUGCCACUUUGCAGUGAAGGAAAUUAUGUUUUUGGGUCAUAUCAUUUCUAGAGAAGGCGUCAAAGUAGAUCCAGCUAAAACCAGUGCUGUCAGCAAGUUUCCAACCCCACAAACACAAAAACAGUUACGAAGCUUUCUAGGCAUGGCAAACUACUAUCGUCGUUUCAUUAAGGACCAUUCUAAGAUUGUCUUUCCUUUAAACUCUUUACUUCACAAAGACCAACCUGUAAAACUGAAGCCUUUGACACUAUCAAGCAUGCCCUUGUCAAUGCUCCAGUUCUUAGUUAUCCAGAUCUAGACAAACCUUUUAUUCUUACAUGUGAUGCAUCUGAUACUGCUAUUGCUUUUGUACUAGGACAACUGAAUUCUGAUAACAAGGAAUAUGCUAUUGCCUAUGGUAAUAAGUCUUUAACAAAGGAAGAGCGUAAUUAUACCACAUCUGAAAAAGAGUGCUUAGCUAUUCUCAAAGGUGUUGAAACUUUCCGUCCUUAUCUGGCCAACAGUGCUUUCACAGUCAUUACUGAUCAUAAUGCUCUAGUAUGGUUAAAGUCAGCUAAGCACACAGGUAGACUUUCUAGAUGGGCUCUUAAACUUCAGGAUCUUAAUUUUGACAUUAUUCAUCGUCCAGGGAAAAGUAAUGUUGUAGCUGAUUGUCUCAGUCGUGUACCCAAUCCUUUUCGGGCCACACAAAUUGACACUGGUUCUAUACCAAUUCAAGAGCAGGGUAUAUCUUCUUUCGACUCUAUUGAAUCCCAUGUUUCUUUAGAAAAUCUGAGUUCUGAAUCUGAUGAUGAAGUACAGUUUGGAGCUGAAGUGCAUUUCUAUUAUGCUUCAGAACAUGCAACAGAUUGUCAAGAAUGUCCUAUCAUAUCUGCAGUUGAUACUGAAAACAUUCAAAACAUAGUUGAGGAUAAACCUGCACUCUCUGAACUACAAAAACAAUGUCCUGAAUUCUCAGCCAUCUACACUUAUCUUGAAUCUGGUGACCUUCCUGAAGAAUCAAAACACAGAGAUAAUGUUGUUUCAGAGAGCAAAUAUUUUUCUUUGUCAGAUAGUGUUCUUUUUCAUUGGUAUCAGAAACGUUGCAGAGGCAUGGACCCUGAGUUUAGAAGAAUCAAGCAAAUAGCCCUUCCUAAAUCUCUUCGACUUGAAGCACUCCAAUCAUAUCAUGAUUCAUUAGCAGCAGGAGGACAUUUUGGUAUUGACAAGGUCAACAAUUCCCUCAUACAAAAAUAUUGGUGGAAAAGUAUGCAUCAAGAUAUCACAGACUAUGUUAAGUCCUGUGAUAGGUGUCAGAGAGCCAAGCAAAACUGCAACCCAAACAGACCCCCUCUUACCAAGAUGCCCCAAGUUGGUCGUUUCGACAGAUGGCAUAUAGAUGUUCUUGGCCCCCUUACUAAAAACUCUCAAGGUUACGAGUACAUCUUAUUGGUCAUUGAUGCUUUCACUAGAUGGUGUGAAGCAUUUCCCAUGAAAACCCAAACUGCAAAGGAGAUAGCGGAUAAUCUAUACACAGGAGUUGUAUCUAGAUUUGGUUGCCCAAGAGUUUUGCUAAGUGACAGAGGUCAGCCCUUCAUGUCAAAGAUUGUCAAAGGCCAUGUGUGA
RNAcentral lists this small RNA (3553 nucleotides) under Mytilus galloprovincialis (Mediterranean mussel). Lineage: Eukaryota; Metazoa; Mollusca; Bivalvia; Mytilida; Mytilidae. The record is from RNAcentral.